RNAcentral lists this ribosomal RNA (490 nucleotides) under uncultured bacterium. Its description in RNAcentral is "bacterial SSU rRNA". It matches the Rfam family "Bacterial small subunit ribosomal RNA", at positions 215 to 697 of the family's 1533-position model. The record is from RNAcentral.
UCACUUCUGGAUGGACCUGCGGUGCAUUAGCUUGUUGGUGGGGUAAUGGCCUACCAAGGCGAUGAUGCAUAGCCGAGUUGAGAGACUGAUCGGCCACAAUGGGACUGAGACACGGCCCAUACUCCUACGGGAGGCAGCAGUAGGGAAUCUUCCACAAUGGGCGCAAGCCUGAUGGAGCAACACCGCGUGAGUGAAGAAGGGUUUCGGCUCGUAAAGCUCUGUUGUUAUAGAAGAACACGUAUGAGAGUAACUGUUCAUACGUUGACGGUAUUUAACCAGAAAGUCACGGCUAACUACGUGCCAGCAGCCGCGGUAAUACAUAGGUGGCAAGCGUUAUCCGGAUUUAUUGGGCGUAAAGAGAGUGCAGGCGGUUUUCUAAGUCUGAUGUGAAAGCCUUCCGCUUAACCGGAGAAGUGCAUCGGAAACUGGAUAACUUGAGUGCACAACAGGGUACUGGAACUCCAUGUGUAGCGGUGGAAUGCGUAAAUAU